RNAcentral lists this ribosomal RNA (253 nucleotides) under uncultured bacterium. Its description in RNAcentral is "partial 16S ribosomal RNA". It matches the Rfam family "Bacterial small subunit ribosomal RNA", at positions 524 to 776 of the family's 1533-position model. The record is from RNAcentral.
UACGAAGGGGGCUAGCGUUGUUCGGAAUCACUGGGCGUAAAGCGCACGUAGGCGGACUGUUAAGUCAGGGGUGAAAUCCUGGGGCUCAACCCCAGAACUGCCUUUGAUACUGGCGGUCUUGAGUGUGGGAGAGGUUGGUGGAACUCCGAGUGUAGAGGUGAAAUUCGUAGAUAUUCGGAAGAACACCAGUGGCGAAGGCGGCCAACUGGCCCAUUACUGACGCUGAGGUGCGAAAGCGUGGGGAGCAAACAGG